UGCUAGUCGCACGAGUUUAGACUCGUGGCAUAUAGCUCAGUAACACGUGGCCAAACUACCCUACAGACCGCAAUAACCUCGGGAAACUGAGGCCAAUAGCGGAUAUAACUCUCAUGCUGGAGUGCCGAGAGUUAGAAACGUUCCGGCGCUGUAGGAUGUGGCUGCGGCCGAUUAGGUAGAUGGUGGGGUAACGGCCCACCAUGCCGAUAAUCGGUACAGGUUGUGAGAGCAAGAGCCUGGAGACGGUAUCUGAGACAAGAUACCGGGCCCUACGGGGCGCAGCAGGCGCGAAACCUUUACACUGCACGACAGUGCGAUAGGGGGACUCCGAGUGUGAGGGCAUAUAGCCCUCGCUUUUCUGCACCGUAAGGUGGUGCAAGAAUAAGGACUGGGCAAGACCGGUGCCAGCCGCCGCGGUAAUACCGGCAGUCCAAGUGAUGGCCGAUAUUAUUGGGCCUAAAGCGUCCGUAGCUUGCUGUGUAAGUCCAUUGGGAAAUCGACCAGCUCAACUGGUCGACGUCCGGUGGAAACUACACAGCUUGGGGCCGAGAGACUCGACGGGUACGUCCGGGGUAGGAGUGAAAUCCUAUAAUCCUGGACGGACCACCAAUGGGGAAACCACGUUGAGAGACCGGACCCGACAGUGAGGGACGAAAGCCAGGGUCUCGAACCGGAUUAGAUACCCGGGUAGUCCUGGCCGUAAACAAUGCUCGCUAGGUAUGUCACGCGCCAUGAGCACGUGAUGUGCCGUAGUGAAGACGAUAAGCGAGCCGCCUGGGAAGUACGUCCGCAAGGAUGAAACUUAAAGGAAUUGGCGGGGGAGCACCACAACCGGAGGAGCCUGCGGUUUAAUUGGACUCAACGCCGGACAUCUCACCGGUCCCGACAGUAGUAAUGACAGUCAGGUUGACGACUUUACUCGACGCUA
Molecule: ribosomal RNA, 928 nt
Filed under: Haloarcula sp.
Lineage: Archaea; Methanobacteriati; Methanobacteriota; Halobacteria; Halobacteriales; Haloarculaceae
Description: bacterial SSU rRNA
Rfam family: Archaeal small subunit ribosomal RNA
Source: RNAcentral